GCUGGAGAAGGGGGAUUACCCGGAGGCCGGAGGGGGGUGCUCGCCUGCCCCCUUCCCGUGGGUCGCGGGACCUACAAGCCCUCGCCCCCCAGCACCCCAAAACCAGGCACACACAACCCUCCCCGCCCCUGCAGUCUCCCAAGCGCUGAGUGGCAGCGUCCAGGGAUGGGCUUGCUCCCGGGGAAGGAGACCUGGUGGUAGGCGUCUGGGGUGGAGAGGGGGACAAGCCUAUAACAGCGACAUCUGCAGACUCGAGGGAUCAAAGGUCCUAGACCGGGGGACGGGGAUUGGCAAAUUGUGCCCCCCCUUUUUUGCAGCGGGCAGGCAAUGAAGCUGCGACCAGACGUGGGACUUGCAGAUAAGGGAGUGUCCCUUCACGCCUCACAGCAAAAUCUCUUCCUGUGGUGGGAAGGGGGAAGUUAGCCAAGCGUUGCUCAUUCAGUUCUUUCCCUUUUAUAAAUUCUGCAGAGCGACUGAGCGAAUUUGGCGCGGCUAGCGGAACUGUGAAGAGGCUGCUGCGCUUCUCUGUCCGCCACACUUCAGGUCACAGCCGCUCCGGAGCCGCGGCACAACCGCCUCCCUCCCCACCCAGCUCCCGGGCCUUGUCACAGACCCCGGCAGCUCGCUCCGCCCCACCGCGCCUCACAACAUCUCCCGCUGCAAAUUGUCCAAUCGGGAGACACGAUGGGAGAACGCGAGCCAAUCAGGGACUGUGCUCCUGCUGGUGCUGUUGAGGGUCAUUUUUAUCCUCACUGCGGCGGGGGACUGCCAGCUAUUGUGUCUGAUCAGCUGCCACCGCCGUCCAGAGGGAAAAAAAAGAGGAACAAAACCUAGAAGCUAUGGAGUCCGCUUACCUUUUCCUUCUUUCUUGCUACUCUCCCCUGUAGACUUAGAGUCUUCCCCCGCCCGCCCACCACCUGAGGUCCUGUUUCUUUGUGGGGGACAGGGGAGCGGGGACAUAAAGCACGCCCUGCAGCUGGGGCACCUGCGCCUUCGUUUUUACAUCUUCCUUAAAGUGGAUGGUGCCAAACCAAAUCGACAGCUAAAUCCUCCGCUUCAAUUCGAGGAAAGACGUUGACGAGAUCAUUUUUAGAUGGCCACGAAAUUUGCAUGUUCUUGACAGCCCGUCACCAAACAAGUCAGCUAACAAUCAAGAAAAGAAAAAUAGAAUAAAAUACAAGGAGGGAUUGCCAGUCAGAUGGUAAUUUACUAAAUAGCCCACUGGCUGUAGCAGUAUCCAGUGCUAGAUACUAUUGAGUAAAUUAACAAGAAGUGAAUAGAAAUUCAGGGUUCAAGUAGCUCACCGCUUGUGGGUUUAUAGAAUAUGUCCAGAAAGGAAAAACAAUUUACAGCACAAAACAACUCCUUACACAUGCAAAUGUGCAUGCACGGCAUAAACGGAAUACCUAACAGCUAAGGACAUUUGGGUUAAAAUUUUUGCACUAGAAAUUUUUGUAAAUGUCGAUUGUGAAAUUUGCAGUUUGAUAAAGGAGAGUAAAAUGUGGGCCAUGAAAGGAGAAGGAAAAGGAAGGAAAACACAUUCUAAAAAUUAUGGAAAAAUAACAUAACCUAGAGAGGCAAUAUUUCUAUAAGAGGUAAUAAGAUGUAAGGACCAAGAUUACAAUCCAACUCCAUUUACCACAUAACUUAGCGCGAAUUAUUACUUAUGUGUCUAAGUACUAGAGCUAUCAAAUUCAACGCCUCCUGCUAGGUAUUCCUCUAAAAGCUUUACACAACAAGAUAGGUGGGUGGUGAAGGAAGGUUUCAAGCCCAGGGUAUCUGGCUCCAGAGUCCAUUCUUUUAUUCACAAUACUAUACUAGGCUGGGCUCAGUGGCUCACGCCUGUAAUCCCAACACUUCGGGAGGCUGAGGUGGGAGGAUCGCUUGAGUCCAGGAGUUUGAGACCAGCGUGGGCAACAUAGGGAGACCCGUUUGUACAAGCAAAAUGUUAGCUGGGCGUGGUGGCAUGCGCCUGUAGUCCCAGCUGAUUAGGAGGCUGUGAGGCAGGAGGAUCGCUUGAGCCCAGGAGUUCAAGGCUGCAGUGAGCUAUGUCCAAGAGUGGCACUCCAGCCAGGGCAACAGAGCCAGACUGUGUCUCAAAAAAAAAAAAAAAAAAAACAACAGUAUACUACCUCUUAAUAUGGGUUUUUAAUAAUAACAGCUAACACUUAACUUACUAUGUGUUAAUUAUUGUGGUCUUUCAGUGCCAAUGUAACUCUACUCCUGGGACAAAUAUAAUCGUGAUGUUCCAAAAUUUGGGAAUGUUUUUAAGAACUGUUAUGAUAAGUUACUCUCUUAGGUGUCUCACGCGUAUUAGGCUAUCUGGAUGGAGAGUGCAAAAGGCACAUAGUUAAAAUUUGAAAAAUUUAACUGGGCUUCCACUGGGCCUCUGAGUUGUAACAGCACCCUCCCUAUCUUGCUGGACUGUUGAAGAGAAUCAAAUGAGAUAUAGAUGUGAAGAAACUUUUAAGGCCAGGUGCAGUGGCUUAUGCCUGUAAUCUCAGCACUUUGGCAGGCCCAGGCAGGAGGACCGCUUGAGCCCAUGAGUUCGACAAGCCUGGGCAACAUAACGGGGUCCUAUCUCUAUUUAAAAAAUUUUGUUAAGUUAGCCAGGUGUGGUGGUCAAUGCCUGCGGUCCCAGCUACUUGGAAGGCUCAGGUGUGAGGAUCGCUUGAGCCCGAGAGAUCAAAGCUGCAGUGAGUCUUGAUCACGCCAGCGCACUCCAGCCAGGGCAACAGAAGACACUUUUAAAAUGUAAAAAAAAAAUUAUUUCAAUUAAAAUAUUACAGACUGAGCAUGGUGGCUUAUGUCUGUAAUCCCAGCUCUUUGGGAGGCCAAGGCGUGCGGAUCACUUAAGGCCGGGAGUUCGAGACCAACCUGGGCAACAUGGUGAAACCCUGUCUCUACUGAAAAUACAAAAAUUAGCCUGGCGUGGUAGCACGAGCCUGGAAUCCCAGCUGCAUGAGAGGCUGAGGCAUGAGAAUCUCUUGAGCCCGGGAGGCAGAGGUUGGAAUGAGCUGAGAUUGCACCACUGCACUCCAGCCGGGAUGACAGAGCGAGGACUCUAUCUCAAAAAAUAAAAUAAAAUAUGAUUAUGAAGCAGAAGUUUGUACUAUUUCCCCAACAGCAACCCUACUGUUUAUAACAUUUUAUUGUUACUGUUUAGGAAUAUAUGAACCCAGUUAAAAAUUAGGUCUAUUCCUUUCUGAAGCCAUGAACAAGAAUAUUUUAAUAUCAGCUCUCAUUUGGACGCUUUUGCUUGUUUGUUUUGUUUGUUUUUGUUGUUUUUGAGACGGCGUCUCACUCUGUCACCAGGCUGGAGUGCAGUGGCACAGUCUCGGCUCACUGCAACCUGUGCCUCCUGGGCUCAAGAGAUUCUGGUGCCUCAGCUUCCUGAAUAGCUGGAACUACAGGCACACGCCACCACACCAGGGUAAUUUUUCUUUCUUUUUCUUUUACCCCCCCCCGCACCCCGCCGCACCCCCACCCCCCCCACCCCCGUAGAGACAGGGUUUCGCCACAUUACCCAGACCGAUCUCGAACAACUGACACCUCAACCUCCCAAAGUGCUGGGUUUACAGGCGUGAGCCACCGCGCUUGGUCAUUUGGAUGCUCUCUGACCAGACCAAAGAGUGAGUGUGGCACCCCUAUGCAUCUGGAAAGAGGAAGCCUACAGCUGGUUUUCCUCCAUUCCAAAGGCUAAUCGGCUUAAUUGCUGGAGGGUGCAAGCCUUUGGAAUUCUCUUUAGCUGCCCAUGGUGGACAUCUCACUUGUGAACACCUCCACCAGAGGGAGGGCAAGGGAAAGGAAAGGGGGCCAAACUUCAGUCAUGUGGCUAUGUGUUAGUUUCAGUAAGAGAUUUGGUGAAACAAUAGGUUUUGGGGCCAUUGUAACUGAAAGGAGAUUGAAACUAACUGGUUGCUAUCUUGAUAGUUUUCUUUAUCCUCAAAUAUCAUGGAUAAGCAAGAGCUAACAGUAAUUCUAGCGUUGUUUGCUUUGAAAGGCUAUUGUCCUCCUUAGAGUAUAGCUAAUAAAUGUGUGGGUUUCCUAUAAUCAAACUUCUUGGAGUAUCCUUUGAAAUAGCCUCUGAAAUUACCAUAGCUAUAUUAAUAAAAACAAGGAAGUUUUAUACACUAAAAACUAAGCAAGACAUUUUUGAAGAUGGGAACUGUAUCCUUGAAAGGUAAGUGUUGGCUUUGCUAACCACAUAAUAUCGUUUUGGUGAAUGAUUAUCAAGGGAAAAAAUGUCAAAGCCAGAAAUAGAGUCAAAGUAUCCCAGUCCCUGAUGUGGAAGGUCAUUCUAUGAUAAUCUAUGAAUGAUUUCUACUCUGAAUAUGUUAACAGAAGCUGGCAAUUCUGAGAAGCACAAGUGUUUCCUAGUGAAUCCACAAAUGAAAUUUGCAAUCUGGGUGAAGCAUUUGCAAAACUAUGUUAAGACCAGUGGCCCUCAGAGGAGUAAGGGGUUUUCUUUUGUUGGUUUUAGGAAAAUGCUUUUGGAUUUUAUUUCUUAUUCACACAUUACCAAAAGACACAUUACCUACUAAUAUUACUAUGAAAAAGCAAAAGACUUUUUUUUUUUUUUUUUUUGAGACAGAGUCUCACUUUGUCAUCCAGGCUGGAGUACAAUGGUGUGAUCUUGGCUCACUGCAACCUCUGCCUCUUGGGUUCAAGCGAUUCUCGUGCCUCAGCCUCCCCAGUAGCUGAGACUACAGGCAUGCACCACCACACCCAGCUAAUUUUUGUAUUUUUUAGUAGAGACAGAAUUUUACCAUGUUGGCCAGGCUGGUCUUGAACUCCUGACCUCAGGUGAUCCACCCACUCAGGCCUCCCAAAGUGCUGGGAUUACAGGCGUGAGCCACCAUGCCUGGACAAAAAAGUGAAAGAUUUUCAUAUUGAACUGAAUAGCUACAGAAAUCCCACUACACUUGCAAGGCAUUUAACUAUUGUAAUUGAGAGAAGGGAAUGAUUCUCCAUCGUCAACAAUUUCUAGGAUUCUUCCUUCAUCUCUUUUAAACAAAUAAUGUAAAUGAUUUACUAAUUUAUUGUUCUGC
Molecule: long non-coding RNA, 5051 nt
Filed under: Macaca mulatta (Rhesus monkey)
Lineage: Eukaryota; Metazoa; Chordata; Mammalia; Primates; Cercopithecidae
Description: lncRNA (ENSMMUG00000049319.1)
Source: RNAcentral